Acanthopagrus latus (yellowfin seabream) is the source of this 782-nucleotide long non-coding RNA. RefSeq lists it as uncharacterized. NCBI's taxonomy places the organism in Eukaryota, Metazoa, Chordata, Actinopteri, Spariformes, Sparidae. The record is from RefSeq and is a predicted model, not a curated record. The transcript is spliced from 6 exons.
GUUGCUUGUCCAUAUAUCUUUGGACUAAUUUGCCAAAUCUUUGCAGGUUUGAUGGUGUGGUGCAUAGACGGACAACAACGGGUAUAAGGACAUUUUUAGUUGCUUGAAAAGUAGUUCCUUCAAAUGAAAAAAAAAACAACCUAAUUGACCCAAACUGAAUAACAAAAGCGACUUGCAUCAUUCAAGAAAAAUGUUGAGUCCAGCUGUGUGAGGAGGGUUACACUGACCUCCAGGUCCUGUGGCAGAUAGUUGAACAGAAUGACCUCCAGCAGCAGCUCCUCUCCUCGGAUAACGUAGGCCGGAAGAUUCAAAGAAAGGAAGAAAUCCUGGAACACUGUGAGCUGCAGGAGGGUAUCAUGGAAACCUCAGACUCUCUACGAUGCCCAGGCCCAGGUUCUCAGAUAAGACGAAGGCGGUGGCCGUCCAGGUUGUGAUGCUGUCAGGAUCCCUACCAGAGAGGCAGGUUCCGCCACAGCGACCUCUAGAGUCACAUUGUUACCUGGUCUCACCAUAGCGUUGCUCCAGCUCAGAGAAACCUGCCAAUCACAGGCUGUAGACGAUGAUGCAGGCCAGAGGAGCCCAAGUGAUGUCUGGGACCAGAGUUAGAACUCCAGAGCCUUUCCCAGCAGAAACCACCUGACCUCUGGACUUCACCUUCACAUAGAAAACAGAUGUCUGGAGGGUUUCUGAAUCUGCAGGUAGGAGUCACUGGGGGAUGUGUAGCUUCUAUAGAGCUGUAGAGUGCUAUAGCUGUCCCGAAAAGAAGCCUGGAAACAAGCAAC